AUGAAUAUGGUGGAAUAUGAUAGUGAUCACUCGGACGAUGAGGGUGAUGUUUUUGCUACUGAAUUUGUUUGGCCAUCUAAGUUCAAACCCUUUACUUGCAAUGAUCUGAAACCGAUUCAUAAGAAUCAUGAUGAAGAGAUGAAGUUCACUUUUAACAUUGCUAAGUGUGAUAGAAUAUUUGAUGCUUUGCUGCAGGCUAAGAAUAUUAGAAUAUCUCAUACUUUACCGCCGUUUGAAGAGCUAAAAUGGCGUGCUUAUUGCAAGUAUCAUAAUUCUUUUUCUCAUGCUACUAACGAUUGCAAUGUUUUUCAACGACAGAUACAAUCGGCCAUUAAUGACGGACGAUUGAACUUUUCUGAGAUGCAAGUUGAUAAACAGCCUUUUCCAAUGAAUACCAUGGAUUUGGAGGGGAAGAAGCUACUCAUUCGGCCGGAGGUAGACGAAUCUGCUAAUAAAGCUAAUGUCAUUGUUGGUGAGCCCAGGAAAGACAAGGAGGACAACAAGGUCUUGGGGAGACAGGUUGUGCUUGGUAAGCAACCCGAUGGCAAGGAAGUGAUCAAAAUCACCAUCAAGAAUCCUACACUCGGGGGGCAACUGCAAGUGCAAGAAAAUGCUCGUGUGAGAUUUGUCAAGCCCAAGAGUCCAGAAAUUGGCAAGUGGAAAAGGAAUGAAGUUAAAGUAUGGCGCAAGCGGAUCAAGCCAACUUUUGAUAUGUUGCUGUCCAAGUACACCAACCAGUCGGCCGGUUCUAGCUUUAAUCGGCCGACUCAUCUGAAGCGACCAAGGUCAUCAUCAGCUGAUAUGUUCAGUCAGUAUAUGAAACCGAGUGGACCAAGGGUGCCGUUUCCAGAAGAGCAUACACAAUCUGUUUGGGAUUGA
Molecule: ribosomal RNA, 879 nt
Filed under: Triticum aestivum (bread wheat)
Lineage: Eukaryota; Viridiplantae; Streptophyta; Magnoliopsida; Poales; Poaceae
Description: partial small subunit ribosomal RNA
Source: RNAcentral